RNAcentral lists this signal recognition particle RNA (306 nucleotides) under Cebus imitator (Panamanian white-faced capuchin). Its description in RNAcentral is "Metazoan signal recognition particle RNA (ENSCCAG00000002639.1)". It matches the Rfam family "Metazoan signal recognition particle RNA". From Rfam's summary of the family: The signal recognition particle (SRP) is a universally conserved ribonucleoprotein. It is involved in the co-translational targeting of proteins to membranes. The record is from RNAcentral. Lineage: Eukaryota; Metazoa; Chordata; Mammalia; Primates; Cebidae.
GCCAUGCCCGGUGGUUUGUGCCUGUAGUCCCAACUACACAGGAGGCUGAGGUGGGAGAAUCACUUGAGCCCAGGAGUUCUGGGCUGUAGUGCCCUAUGCCUAUUGGAUGUCCACUCUAAUUUCGGCAACAAUAUGGUGACCUCCCAGGAGCGGAGGACCACCAGGUUGCCUAAUGAGGAGUGAACUGGCCCAGGUCAGAAAUGGAGCAGAUCAAAACUCCCGUGCUGAUCAGCAGUGGGAUGUGGAAUGGUGCCUGUGAAUAGCCACUGAACUACAGCCUGGGCAACAUAGAAAGACCCUGUCUCA